CAGUACUCCACCAUAUUCACUGUGUGCUGACGUUCAUUAUGAACGAAUGAUGGAGCUUUUCGAUAGAAAAGGAUAUUUUUGUCCUACUGUAGACGAUAUUCAAAAUGCAGUAAAGAGCUCUUUAAAGGUAACAGAUGCACCAAGUCUUAUAAAUAUACUAAUCAAUCCAACUGCUGAACGCAAAGAACAAAAAUUCGGGUGGCUGACAGAAUCAAAGCUUUAAUAUUAUAUUUUUAUGAUAGAUGAUUGUUGAAUAAUGGAUAAAAGUUUGUACUAAAUUUAAGAAAAUAUUUUUAUUAAAAAAAAAUAUAAUAUGAAAUCUAUUAUAUAUGAAAAUAGAA
RNAcentral lists this long non-coding RNA (341 nucleotides) under Chelonus insularis. RNAcentral's name for it is "uncharacterized LOC118069794". The record is from RNAcentral. Lineage: Eukaryota; Metazoa; Arthropoda; Insecta; Hymenoptera; Braconidae.